GUAAUAGUUAUGAUCUUGAAACUUAAAAAAUUUGGCGGUAUUUUAGUCUAUUCAGAGGAAUUUGUUUUGUAAUUGAUAGCCCGCGUUGGACCUUACUUAAAUUUGUUUAACAGUUUAUAUACCGUCGUUAUCAGAAUAUUUUAUAAGAAUUAAUAAUUUUCUUAAAUUUUGAAUAAAAAUUAUUUCAGAUCAAGGUGUAGCUUAUGUUUAAGGAAUAAUGAAUUACAAUAAAAUUAUUUAAAUGGAUAUUAUUAUGAAAAAUUAAUUGAAAGUGGAUUUGAAAGUAAAAUUAUAUAGAU
This 299-nucleotide ribosomal RNA is filed under the name Diasemopsis hirsuta. RNAcentral's name for it is "partial 12S ribosomal RNA". The record is from RNAcentral. Lineage: Eukaryota; Metazoa; Arthropoda; Insecta; Diptera; Diopsidae.